Gasterosteus aculeatus aculeatus (three-spined stickleback) is the source of this 85-nucleotide small nucleolar RNA. Ensembl annotates it as small nucleolar RNA, C/D box 11B. Its record names the gene SNORD11B. The record is from Ensembl. NCBI's taxonomy places the organism in Eukaryota, Metazoa, Chordata, Actinopteri, Perciformes, Gasterosteidae.
CGACCGUUGUGAUGAUAAUGGCUUGUUGUCUUUACCCUGAAACAAAUCAUGUGGGUUUUCAGUCACUACCUCAUCUGAACAGUCG